GCACGGGUGAGUAACGCGUAGAUAAUCUACCCUAUAGUCUGGGACAACUUCUCGAAAGGGGAGCUAAUACCGGAUAAUACAUUGAAUCGAAUGUUUCGAUGUUGAAAGGUUUACUGCUAAAGGAUGAGUCUGCGUACCAUUAGCUUGUUGGUAGGGUAAAGGCCUACCAAGGCGACGAUGGUUAGCGGGUCUGAGAGGAUGAUCCGCCACACUGGAACUGAGACACGGUCCAGACUCC
This 238-nucleotide ribosomal RNA is filed under the name uncultured bacterium. Its description in RNAcentral is "partial 16S ribosomal RNA". It matches the Rfam family "Bacterial small subunit ribosomal RNA", at positions 100 to 339 of the family's 1533-position model. The record is from RNAcentral.